GCUUAAGGCCGCACCAGCCUGAGAAUGCCAGCUCUCCUUGGACCUCAGAUGCCAAGCAGCUUUGGGCCUUGUUAGUACCUGGAAAGGAGAUUGCCUGUGAAUACCAUGUGCUGUAAGCU
Molecule: ribosomal RNA, 119 nt
Filed under: Electrophorus electricus (electric eel)
Lineage: Eukaryota; Metazoa; Chordata; Actinopteri; Gymnotiformes; Gymnotidae
Source: RNAcentral